Molecule: long non-coding RNA, 1739 nt
Filed under: Anas platyrhynchos platyrhynchos (common mallard)
Lineage: Eukaryota; Metazoa; Chordata; Aves; Anseriformes; Anatidae
Description: lncRNA (ENSAPLG00000016785.1)
Source: RNAcentral
GCAUGAAAACAUGCAGAUGUGAUGAUGUGUUCUUAGCAGUGAGGUUUUAGUCAGGGGGAAUGUGGGAGUACGAAAAUCUGGAUGAGCCUGGACUCUGCCCCUCUCAGCAAAUCCCUCUCUGCCCCCAGGUACAGCUGCCAGCAUGAGCUCCCAGGACAUCUGCAGCCCCCCAGGGUAUCUCCAAGCUCCUGCUCUCCAAAUGAACUCAACUUCUGCUCAGCCAGGUACAAGAGUUUUUCUCCAGUGUAUUCUCCCUGUGGUGUCACCUGUAAGAAAAAUCAUUUUCUGCAAGGAUGGGAAGGAGGUGUACAGUCUGAAAGCCCAGCAAGGGCAGCUGAACUACUCCGUGGUCAUGAACAUCACAUCAAGAAGCGCAGGAAGAUAUACAUGUGGGUACAAGGAGUGGAAUGAGAUGAAACACAUGAGGAGCUCUGCCCUCAGUGCUGGCCGCAUCCUGGAUAUCCCUGGUGAGACACGUCCCCGGGCUGGAGGGGUGAGAAGGGACGGAGGCAUUUGCCACCACAUGGCUGUGCUGAGGCUGGAGCUGUGUGCUGCAGCAGGCUCUGGGGUGGUUCCCUCAUGGGAGUGUUCCCUCUCCUCCAAGGCAGCCCCUAGACAGAGAGAGCUGGUCUCAGUGGAUUGCCGUGUCCCUGAAGCACUACCUCUGCUGCAGAGUUGGGGCUCUGCAGAGCCCAUUCACAGAGAGCAAGGGAUGGGGAUGUGGAUGAAUGUUGGGUUGAGCCAGGGAUGCUCCAAGGUCUGCCCUGUGCAUUGAUGAGCCUAUGGCAGGGCAAGUGGGAUGACUGUCAUGAGCUGGGCAAGGACACAGCAGGGAGGACAUGGCAAGGACCAAGCAGCUGGGACAUGGGCACAAGCGUGUGGGUGCCCCAGCUCUCACUCCCUCUAAACAAAACCCUCUGUGCCCCAAGGUGCAGGUGCUGGCAUGACCACCCAGGACAUCUGCAGCUCCCCAGGUGAGGCUGAGCGUGGGGAUGGGUGACUGAAGAGAGGUGUGUGUGGGGUGGUGAUGGCAAGGGAGAGGGAAUUUGUUCUCUGGGCGAGAGCUCCUGGGAAGGAAUCAUUUCUCCGCAUGGAACACAAAGCAUUUUUGUGCAAUUCUGGGGUCUCCAGUAUAAGAGGGGCAUAGAACUACUGGAGAGAGCCUUGAGGAGGGCUGUAAAGAUGAUCAGAGGACCGGAGCCAAGAGCGCUGAGCCUUUUUAGCCUGGAAAAGAGGAGACUGAAGGGAGACCUCAUCCAUGUCUAUAAAUAUCUGAGGGGAGGGAGUUGAGAGAAUGGUGCUGGUCUCUUUUCAGUUGUGCCCAGGGAAAGGGUGAGAGGCAACAGGCCCAAAUGGGAGCACAGAAAGUUCCAUCUGAAUAUGAGGGGCAUUUCUUUACUGGGAGGGUGACAGAGCACUGAAACAGGCUGCCCAGAGAUGCUGUGGAGUCUCCUCUGCAGAUAUUUCAAAUCCACCUGGAUGCCACUCUGUGCAGUCUGUCCUAGCUGAUCCUGCUCAGCAGAAGGCUGGACUCCAUGACUUUCAGAGGUCCCUUCCAACCUUGGCCAUUCUGUGAUUGUGUGAUCCUCUAGCCCCCAGAAUCACAGACAGAUGAGAGUGGUGGUGCCAUAUUUAAUGGGCAGGCACACCUUGGCCAAGCUAUUCUUAACCACUCACGAGGGAAUUUAGACAGCUGAUCCAUGGGGGCCCAUGUUGCCACAAAAGCCACAGGCACUUUU